CUCCUUGGCAUUCUGGUCCUUACCCAAAGAUCUUCUUCUGAACUUGAGCUUCCUCGGACCUUCAUUCUCCGACUUUAUCUCUAUCACCUUCCCCCUCCUGAAACGCAAUUUCACAGGUUGCGGAUCUUGGCUCUCCGAACGAACCACCCCCUUCCUUCUGUUCCACUUCUUCUGUUCUUCAAUGUCCAACGAAUCUAGCUCUUCGUCAUCAGUCAGACUGUAUUCAGAUUCCUCAUCUUCAUCCUCAUUGGUAAGAGAAGAUGAUGACGAUGAACACCCUG
Molecule: long non-coding RNA, 281 nt
Filed under: Linum usitatissimum (flax)
Lineage: Eukaryota; Viridiplantae; Streptophyta; Magnoliopsida; Malpighiales; Linaceae
Description: long non-coding RNA (LUSI_LNC000800)
Source: RNAcentral